AGUGAAUAGAUACCCAGGUAGUCCCAGCUGUAAACGAUGCGCGUUAGGUGUAUCGGUGACCACGAGUCACCGAGGUGCCGAAGAGAAAUCGUGAAACGUGCCGCCUGGGAAGUACGGUCGCAAGGCUGAAACUUAAAGGAAUUGGCGGGGGAGCACCACAACAGGUGGAGCCUGCGGUUUAAUCGGACUCAACGCCGGGAAGCUCACCGGAUAAGACAGCUGAAUGAUAGCCGGGUUGAAGACUCUGCUUGACUAGCUGAGAGGAGGUGCAUGGCCGUCGUCAGUUCGUACUGUGAAGCAUCCUGUUAAGUCAGGCAACGAGCGAGACCCACGCCAACAGUUGCCAGCAUGUCCUCCGGGAUGGUGGGGACACUGUUGGGACCGCCUCUGCUAAAGAGGAGGAAGGAAUGGGCAACGGUAGGUCAGCAUGCCCCGAAUUAUCCGGGCUACACGCGGGCUACAAUGGUCAGGACAAUGGGUAUCAACACCGAAAGGUGAAGGCAAUCUCCUAAACCUGUCCUUAGUUCGGAUU
This 532-nucleotide ribosomal RNA is filed under the name uncultured bacterium. RNAcentral's name for it is "bacterial SSU rRNA". It matches the Rfam family "Archaeal small subunit ribosomal RNA", at positions 723 to 1255 of the family's 1478-position model. The record is from RNAcentral.